UACAGAGGGUGCGAGCGUUAAUCGGAGUGACUGGGCGUAAAGGGCACGUAGGCGGUUAUGUUAGUCUGAUGUGAAAGACCUGGGCUUAACCUGGGAUGUGCAUUGGAAACGGCAUAGCUAGAGUAUGGGAGAGGGAAGUGGAAUUUCCGGUGUAGCGGUGAAAUGCGUAGAGAUCGGAAAGAACACUGGUGGCGAAGGCGGCUUCCUGGCCCAAAACUGACGCUGAGGUGCGAAAGCGUGGGGAGCAAACAGG
Molecule: ribosomal RNA, 253 nt
Filed under: uncultured bacterium
Lineage: Bacteria
Description: partial 16S ribosomal RNA
Rfam family: Bacterial small subunit ribosomal RNA
Source: RNAcentral